This 468-nucleotide RNase P RNA is filed under the name Pseudomonadota bacterium. RNAcentral's name for it is "RNase P RNA component class A". It matches the Rfam family "Bacterial RNase P class A". Rfam says of the family: Ribonuclease P (RNase P) is a ubiquitous endoribonuclease, found in archaea, bacteria and eukarya as well as chloroplasts and mitochondria. Its best characterised activity is the generation of mature 5'-ends of tRNAs by cleaving the 5'-leader elements of precursor-tRNAs. The record is from RNAcentral. Lineage: Bacteria; Pseudomonadati; Pseudomonadota.
GAAGGGGCCCAGGAGACCGCCGGUGGCCGCCGUCCUCACGGAUGGCGGGCGCGGGAGGAAAGUCGGAGCUCCGCAGAGCAGGAGGCCGGGUAACGCCCGGUCAGCGCGAGCUGGAGGAAAGCGCAACAGAGAGAAGAACGCCCGGACGCGCCCUCGUGGAGACACGGGGCGCGCCGCCGAACUUGCCGGUCCCAUCCCCGCGGUCGCGGGCCGGCGAGGCAGGGGGGUCGAAAGGUCCCGGUGAGAUUGAAAGGGUGCGGUAAGAGCGCACCGGCGGUCCCGGUAACGGGAUCGGCCAGGUAAACCCCCUCCGGAGCAAGACCAAAGAGGGCCAGGACUGCUCGUCCGUUUGAGGUCCGGGUUGGUCGCUCGAGUCGUCCGGUAACGGCCGACCUAGAGGAAUGGUCUCCACCCAGGCGGCGGCGACUCCGCCAGGGAACAGAACUCCGCUUACGGGCCCCUUCGCCC